This is a long non-coding RNA of Ceratitis capitata (Mediterranean fruit fly), 380 nucleotides long. RefSeq lists it as uncharacterized. The transcript has 2 exons. Lineage: Eukaryota; Metazoa; Arthropoda; Insecta; Diptera; Tephritidae. The record is from RefSeq and is a predicted model, not a curated record.
UGUGGAUGUUGGGUGCCCAGAAACACACACACGAGGGAAUGUUAUUGUGGCUGCUGUUGUACUGUUGGUAUUUUGUUUUAUUGCCUUCGCUGCUGACAGAAGCAGCGUCGACAGCAGCAGCAGCAACUUCUUCAACAGCAGGCGACUGUCUUCAAUCGUGUUUACGCUGCCAACGGCUCUGGACGCAAUCUGAUUAAAACCAACAAAACAACAACUACACCCUGCAACCUGACCGCCCACACAAUAAAUUGCGACGAAUUUUUGUACCGAGCGAAAGCAAGAAAGCAAAGAGUUAGGCGAAAUAUAUUUUGCAUAUUUGUGAAAUUUUAACUGCAACAACAACAAAAACAAAGGCAAUAAGAUGUUCAGCUCAUUCACAG